RNAcentral lists this long non-coding RNA (3099 nucleotides) under Medicago truncatula (barrel medic). RNAcentral describes it as "lncRNA gene16539". Lineage: Eukaryota; Viridiplantae; Streptophyta; Magnoliopsida; Fabales; Fabaceae. The record is from RNAcentral.
CCUUGGGGUACACACUUUUGUGAACGGAGUGUGCGUUUGCCAAACAUUAUAUAUAAGACACACGCGAGCGCGCCCGCGGCGGAGACCAAGUCUCACACGUUUUCCACACGCGCAAGCUUCAGCUCCACGUUUCCGCGUCGUGGGUUACCGUUACUGGGUCGUGGGCUAUGUUUGGCGGGUCGCAAACCGGGUCGGCGGAGAAAACGAGGUCAAAUCCCCUCUAUAAAUAGAGAGCUCGGGAUUUGGAUUCUUCACUCCAAAACCGAGAAUCGAAUCCUCUUCUCUGGUUUUCUCCCCUUCUCAUCUCCCUCGGUUUGUGUUGACGAAUCGUUCUUUUCUUCCUCCUUCUUUGGUUUCUCGAGUGGUCGCGGCGGAGACCAAGUCUCACACGUUUUCCACACGCGCAAGCUUCAGCUCCACGUUUCCGCGUCGUGGGCUAUGUUUGGCGGGUCGCAAACCGGGUCGGCGGAGAAAACGAGGUCAAAUCCCCUCUAUAAAUAGAGAGCUCGGGAUUGGGAUUCUUCACUCCAAAGCCGAGAAUCGAAAAUCCUCUUCUCUGGUUUUCUCCCCUUCUCAUCUCCCUCGGUUUGUGUUGACGAAUCGUUCUUUUCUUCCUCCUUCUUUGGUUUCUCGAGUGGUCUGCGUACCAUAUUAGAGUGGUUUUUCGAAACCAUAUUGAGGUGUUAUUCUCGAGCGAUUUUUAGCAGUGCAGCCUUUAAUCGUACAGUUAGAAUCUGGGCUGUUUUAUCCUGGAGACGACGCGGUUACUAGUCUACCUUGCACAAUUUAGGUAGUGCCGCGAAACGUCUUAAAGAAAGCGACCUGGUCGUGACUCACCCCGCUAAUACUUUCAAAGCUCUGUCGUAAUUUUCCAAAUUCCAAAAACAACAUUUUUAAGACGUUUCGAACACGAUACGAUGAGUUCUAAAAAAAUUACCGCGGUUUCAGUUGAUGAUUUUAACAAACCGUUUUUGUUUACGGGAAGCCACGUCAAACGUUGGCAGCAAAAGAUGUUGUUUUACGGGAAGCCACUGAAAAAGAAACUAAAACCUGAUGGGUCAAUCGAUAAAUACAAGGCACGCCUUGUAGCCAAAGGUUUUAGACAAAGAGAAAAUGUAGAUUUCUUUGACACAUAUUCGCCUGUAACUAGAAUCACGUCCAUUAGGAUACUAAUAUCUUUGGCGGCCAUCCACAAUUUGAUAGUACACCAAAUGGAUGUAAAAACUGCUUUUUUAAACGGUGAAUUAGAAGAAUAAAUCUACAUGGACCCACCUGAAGGUUUCGUAAAUCAUGGACAAGAGAACAAAGUUUGUAAGUUGGACAAAUCUUUGUAUGGUCUAAAACAAGCACCGAAACAAUGGCAUGAGAAAUUCGACAAUCUAAUGAUUGAGAAUGAGUAUAAGGUGAAUGAAAGCGACAAGUGUAUUUAUUCCAAGUACGAAAACAACACUUGCACGAUCAUAUGUCUAUACGUAGACGACUUACUCAUAUUUGGUUCAAACCUCAAUGCCAUUAAAGAUGUGAAAUCACUGUUGUGCCACAACUUUGAUAUGAAAGACCUAGGAGAAGCAGAUGUAAUUCUUGAAAUCAAGAUUACUAGAACUGAUAAUGGAAUUUCCUUGAAUCAAUCUCACUACGUUGAGAAGAUCUUAAGGAAAUAUAAUUACUUCGAUUGUAAACCUGCGAGCACACCUUGUGACCCAAGUGUGAAGCUAUUUAAGAACACUGGAGAUAGUGUUAGACAAACUGAAUAUGCGAGCAUCAUGGGCAGUCUCAGAUAUGCCACUGAUUGUACUAGACCCGACAUCGGCUACGCCGUGGGACUACUAUGCAAGUUUACGAGCAGGCCAAGCAUGGAGCAUUGGCAAGCUAUCGAAAGAGUCAUGAGAUAUUUGAAGAAGACCAUGACUCUAGGAUUGCAUUAUCAGAGAUAUCCUGCAGUGCUUGAAGGAUACAGUGACGCAGAUUGGAACACCUUAUCAGAUGAUUCCAAAGCGACCAGUGGCUAUAUAUUUAGCAUUGCUGGAGGAGUUGUUUCCUGGAAAUCCAAGAAACAGACCAUUCUGGCUCAGUCCACAAUGGAAUCUGAGAUGAUAGCACUAGCUGCUGCUAGUGAAGAAGCAAGUUGGCUAAGAUGCUUGCUAUCUGAAAUCCCUUUAUGGGAGAGACCGUUACCAACUGUGUUAAUUCAUUGUGAUAGUACCGCGGCUAUCGCAAAGAUUGAGAAUCGUUAUUACAAUGGUAAGAGACAACAGAUAAGACGAAAACACAGCAUGAUAAGAGAAUAUCUUUCGAACGGAACGGUAAGAGUAGAUUUCGUACGAACAAAUGAAAACUUAGCUGAUCCUUUGACGAAAGGACUAAACAGAGAGAAAGUCGCAAAUACAUCCAAUAGGAUGGGACUAAUGCCUAUUGAUCAUAAGUGAUGGAAACUCGACCUAAAUGACUGAAGAUCCCAAAAACUAGGUUCAAUGGGUAAUAACAAGUCACAAGUGAUAGAACAUGCUAUGAGAAAGCAUGAUCCUGCCGUGACCGAAGGUUGAGAUAAUAGAAACUCUUAAUGAGAUCUAUACUCCUAAUGGAGUGAAGUACAUAGCUACAGGAGUACUUAUGAUAGACUCACCUAUACGUAUGUAGAACUGAUGCCGGUUCUUAUGGAAUUUCGAGGCAGAAUUCCUAGAGCAUUCGUUAAAACUGGGAUAGACAUGCAAGGCCAUUAACGCACAGGCUUUUAGAAAACACCUAAGAAAAGGUUGUGUGUGGGUCCUAUGUUUGAGAUAGAGUUCAAUGCUGUAAGCAACUCUUGUUAAUCGGAAUACUACUCACUAUGCAAAGGUUCAAGUUGUUGGCGACACCUUUGUUUACUAGCAAUCUUUAAGAAACGUCUAAAACGUAACUAUCGAAACCAAUUUUGAAUUCAAAUGGGGGAUUGUUGGAACACUAGUGUAUAUUGGCAAAAACUUGGAGUAUACUAGUUGUUAUGUGGAGCCUUUGGAAUGUAAACACAAGGAUGGAGAAACUAGUGUAAAGUGUGAAUUGAAAAUUUUAUGGCCCACAUUAGGUAGAUCACACACUCUAGUAGUGUUUAUAUAUGUGGGA